AUUGAACGCUGGCGGCAUGCCUUACACAUGCAAGUCGAACGGUAACAGGUCUUCGGAUGCUGACGAGUGGCGAACGGGUGAGUAAUACAUCGGAACGUGCCUAGUAGUGGGGGAUAACUACUCGAAAGAGUGGCUAAUACCGCAUGAGAUCUACGGAUGAAAGCAGGGGAUCGCAAGACCUUGUGCUACUAGAGCGGCCGAUGGCAGAUGAGGUAGUUGGUGGGAUAAAAGCUUACCAUGCCGACGAUCUGUAGCUGGUCUGAGAGGACGAUCAGCCACACUGGGACUGAGACACGGCCCAGACUCCUACGGGAGGCAGCAGUGGGGAAUUUUGGACAAUGGGCGCAAGCCUGAUCCAGCAAUGCCGCGUGCAGGAUGAAGGCCUUCGGGUUGUAAACUGCUUUUGUACGGAACGAAAAGCCCCGGGUUAAUACCCUGGGGUCAUGACGGUACCGUAAGAAUAAGCACCGGCUAACUACGUGCCAGCAGCCGCCGCGG
Molecule: ribosomal RNA, 498 nt
Filed under: uncultured bacterium
Lineage: Bacteria
Description: partial 16S ribosomal RNA
Rfam family: Bacterial small subunit ribosomal RNA
Source: RNAcentral